RNAcentral lists this ribosomal RNA (496 nucleotides) under uncultured bacterium. RNAcentral's name for it is "partial 16S ribosomal RNA". It matches the Rfam family "Bacterial small subunit ribosomal RNA", at positions 28 to 506 of the family's 1533-position model. The record is from RNAcentral.
GAUGAACGCUGGCGGCGUGCCUAAUACAUGCAAGUCGAGCGAACAGAUGAGGAGCUUGCUCCUCUGACGUUAGCGGCGGACGGGUGAGUAACACGUGGAUAACCUACCUAUAAGACUGGGAUAACUUCGGGAAACCGGAGCUAAUACCGGAUAAUAUAUUGAACCGCAUGGUUCAAUAGUGAAAGACGGUUUUGCUGUCACUUAUAGAUGGAUCCGCGCCGCAUUAGCUAGUUGGUAAGGUAACGGCUUACCAAGGCAACGAUGCGUAGCCGACCUGAGAGGGUGAUCGGCCACACUGGAACUGAGACACGGUCCAGACUCCUACGGGAGGCAGCAGGAGGGAAUCUUCCGCAAGGGGCGAAAGCCUGACGGAGCAACGCCGCGUGAGUGAUGAAGUUCUUCGGAUCGUAAAACUCUGUUAUUGGGGAAAAACAAAUGUGUAAGUAACUAUGCACGUUUGGACGGUACCUAAUCAGAAAGCCACGGCAAACUACGU